CUACGGGAGGCUCCAGUGAGGAAUAUUGCACAAUGGGGGGAACCCUGAUGCAGCAACGCCGCGUGGAGGAUGACGCAUUUCGGUGUGUAAACUCCUUUUAUAUGUCAAGAAAAUGACGGUAGCAUAUGAAUAAGCACCGGCUAACUCCGUGCCAGCAGCCGCGGUAAUACGGAGGGUGCAAGGUUACUCGGAAUCACUGGGCGUAAAGGACGCGUAGGCGGGUUGGAAAGUCAGGUGUGAAAUCCUACAGCUUAACUGUAGAACUGCACUUGAAACUUCUAAUCUAGAGUAUGGGAGGGGGAGAUGGAAUUAGUGGUGUAGGGGUAAAAUCCGUAGAUAUCACUAGGAAUACCUAAAGCGAAGGCGAUCUCCUGGAACAUUACUGACGCUAAGGCGUGAAAGCGUGGGGAGCAAACAGGAUUAGAUACCCCAGUAGUC
RNAcentral lists this ribosomal RNA (438 nucleotides) under uncultured bacterium. Its description in RNAcentral is "partial 16S ribosomal RNA". It matches the Rfam family "Bacterial small subunit ribosomal RNA", at positions 339 to 795 of the family's 1533-position model. The record is from RNAcentral.